AUCCUACAGGGCACGAAAAGGGCUCUGGUUGCCCUCAUCCCAGGGAGACGGGCAGUCAGAGGACAGUGGCUGCCUUCACAAGCCUGGUCUGGAACCCCUCAAGCCAACGUGGAAACUCCACAAGAGUAGAAAGAGUUGGAUUUUAAGUAGCGGUGACACAGGGUCUCGCUCUGUCCCCAGGCUGGAGUGCAGUGGUAC
This is a long non-coding RNA of Piliocolobus tephrosceles (Ugandan red Colobus), 198 nucleotides long. RefSeq lists it as uncharacterized. The transcript is spliced from 3 exons. NCBI's taxonomy places the organism in Eukaryota, Metazoa, Chordata, Mammalia, Primates, Cercopithecidae. The record is from RefSeq and is a predicted model, not a curated record.